Long non-coding RNA from Notothenia coriiceps (black rockcod), 369 nucleotides. RefSeq lists it as uncharacterized. NCBI's taxonomy places the organism in Eukaryota, Metazoa, Chordata, Actinopteri, Perciformes, Nototheniidae. The record is from RefSeq and is a predicted model, not a curated record. The transcript is spliced from 3 exons.
GUGUGUGUGUGUGUGUGUGUGUGUGUGUGUGUGUGUGUGUGUGUGUGUGUGUGUGUGUGUGGUGUUUGCGUGCUCUGUACAAAUUGAGGACUUUUGUUCUUUUCCAGUGUAGAGUCACGCGAAAGUGUGUGUGUGUCUCAGGACAGAGCUCCUGCCACACCCAGUAGGCGAGGCUGCUGACUGUAACUGAAAUCCAGGGUGUGGACGCAGACGGUCGGUGAUGGACCUGGAGCCCGUGGACCCAGACUCUCCGGACGUCAAGAGGAGGCGGAUCCACAUGUGUGAUUAUGAAGGCUGCCAAAAAGUUUACACCAAGAGCUCCCACCUCAAAGCCCACCGGAGGAUACACACAGGAGAGAAACCCUACCA